This 317-nucleotide ribosomal RNA is filed under the name uncultured bacterium. RNAcentral describes it as "bacterial SSU rRNA". It matches the Rfam family "Bacterial small subunit ribosomal RNA", at positions 476 to 794 of the family's 1533-position model. The record is from RNAcentral.
UACCUCGCGAAUAGCCCCGGCUACUCUGUGCCAGCAGCCGCGGUAAUACAGAGGGGGCAAGCGUUGUCCGGAGUUACUGGGCGUAAAGCGCACGUAGGCGGUCCUGCAAGUGGUGUGUGAAACCAAUCAGCUUAACUGAUUGACGCCAUGCCAAACUGCGAGACUCGAGUCAUGGAGAGGUAGUUCGAAUUGCUGGUGUAGUGGUGAAAUGCGUAGAUAUCAGCAGGAAGACCAAGGGAGAAAUCAGACUACUGGCCAUGAACUGACGCUCAGGUGCGAAAGCGUGGGGAGCGAACUGGAUUAGAUACCCAGGUAGU